GCCCUGCGCUCCUUCCUUUUCCUUUCCUCCUUCCUUUCCUCCUCUCCUCUUUUCCCUCACAUUGCGCCCUCUGGUAUUCCGGGGGGCAUGCCUGUCCGAGCGUCAUUGCGAACCCCUCAAGCCCGUCUUGUGUGAUGGGCCUCUCGCGUCCUGGGAUCCCCCGGGACGGGUCCGAAUAGCAGUGGUGGCGACGCGGUUUAUCCGAUCAGCCAGAGCGUAUGGGGACUCUCCGUCACACGUCUCGCGGCGCGGACCGACGUCUGCCUAUUGAUCAAUCUUUUCUCGGUUGACCUCGGAUCAGGUAGGGAUACCCGCUGAACUUAAGC
RNAcentral lists this unclassified non-coding RNA (326 nucleotides) under plant metagenome. Its description in RNAcentral is "partial contains 5.8S ribosomal RNA, internal transcribed spacer 2, and large subunit ribosomal RNA". The record is from RNAcentral.